Long non-coding RNA from Homo sapiens (human), 4339 nucleotides. Ensembl annotates it as activator of HSP90 ATPase homolog 2, pseudogene. Its record names the gene AHSA2P. Lineage: Eukaryota; Metazoa; Chordata; Mammalia; Primates; Hominidae. The record is from Ensembl.
ACGCAGGGCUCGGCCUUCGCCUCUCGGCUCGGGAGAGUCCUUGAGUACGGAGACCGGCUAGGAGGGUUGCAGCUGCCUCUUUUUGAAAGUUGGGUUGGGCCCCAAGAGUGACUUCCGACAGACCUUUCCACUCCCACCGUCUGUGGCCUGAGGGCCUUCCCUUCUCCUCCCGCCCACCCCUCUGGAUGUUUCGGGGAGUUAGAAGGGAGCUGGAUUGAGAGACUGUGUUAGGGGCGGGGGUAUGGAACGUAGUGGAAAGGGCAGAAAUUUGGAUCUCAGUUCGCGCCCACCCCGCAGGCGCCUCCCGCGAGCCGGGCCCUCUGUGAGUGAGACAAGCUCCCCUUCCUUUACGCGCCUCACCUGGCGCGUGGGGAGAGGUCGGCAGCCCUCCGCCGCAGAACCUCCGGAAGGGAUGUCCUCUGCCCUGCGCCUCUGGCCGGGGCUGUGGUCCCUCCAGGCCGUCGAGGGGAUGCUGAGGCCGGUCCCCAGAGGAGCAUGACUUGGCUGGUCCGGAGGAGCUCUGAGGGCAUGGGCAAUCUUGGCUCGCUGCAACCUCAGCUUCCAGAGUUCAAGCGAGUCUCCUGCUUCAGCCUCAUGAGUAGCUGGGACUACAGAUGCGUGCCACUACGUCCGUCUGAUGUUUGUAUUUUUAGUAGAGACAGGGUUUCACCAUGUUGGUCAGGCUGCUCUCGAACUCCAGAUCUCGUGAUCCGCCCGCCUGGGCCUACUAAAGUGCUGGGAUUACAGGCGUGAGCUAGAUCUGACUUUCUAGUGUCCUAGCCUUGGCCCGAUGGACAUGUCAUUUCUCUCAGCUCGUUUCUGUCCCCUAAAGUGAGAAUAUUGCCUGGGAAGAUUACAUUAGACGAUGUAUAUGCGAAGACACUUGAUAGCUGGUAUUGUCAUGAUUCUGAUUAGUUCACUACUGCUACUUUCCCUGUGGCCUAGGCUUUGCCUAUUUCCAGUGGGCGAGCUAGCUAGAUCCUCCUCCCUUAAAUAAGCCAGUGUUUUUAAGACAGAAUACUACUUGCAUAGUGGACAAUAAUAUCUUAAAGAACUGAGCAGGAUGAAAAGAAUUUGAUAGAAAGCAGGUUUGAGGAGCACAUUGGAGGUUGGCAGGUUUCGAGGCUGCUUGAGAGGACUUGGGCCGAUCUGGGCUGGGCUUGGACGUGACCCUGGCACCCAGGCAGGUGGAUCCCAGCUGGGGCUUCCAUUCACGACUUUCUGGUCCCUGGCAGGACAGAGCGGGAUGCCACCAGCUUGUCCAAAGGGAAGUUCCAGGAGCUCCUGGUGGGCAUCGUUGUGGAGAAUGACGCUGGCCGCGGCGAGAUCAACGAGUUGAAGCAGGUGGAAGGGGAGGCUUCGUGCAGCAGCCGCAAAGGAAAGCUGAUUUUCUUCUAUGAGUGGAACAUCAAACUGGGCUGGAAAGGCAUCGUUAAAGAAUCUGGAGUGAAGCACAAGGGAUUGAUUGAAAUACCCAAUCUUUCUGAGGAAAAUGAAGUAGAUGACACUGAGAAUUUACAACGGGAAUGAUUUUACCAACGAAAGCUAUGGCAACCCAGGAAUUGACUGUCAAAAGAAAACUGAGUGGGAAUACCCUGCAGGUAUGAGCUCUGUUGGCCAAAAUGUAGGGAAGGGGUAAAGGAAGUGUUUGAGUCAGGGCUCCGAAUGGCCGUGUUGAUGGAGAACUGAGGACAGCGAGGGCCUUCUUCCGCCUUUGAGUCUCCCGUGAGUCCUCUAAGAUCUCCCAUUUUGUUGUGCAAAUGAUAAAAUGAGACUUUGAUUCUUGAUGGAAGGGAUUGUUACAGACACGCCUUUCUUUGGGAUAAAUACCUGACUCAAGAGUGUCCUAAGGGCAGUGUUCUUUGGUAGGCCACAGAACCAGAUGACUUUCAAGAUCCACAUAGCAUAAUAAAAGAAACUUCUUUGCUCACUUUUGGACUGGGAGUUUAGAUCUGUUCUUGGAAUGGGUGUUCUGUGUGUAAUGGACACCCUUUAGCUUUAGCUGCAGUUGUCUUUCACCUGCUCACGGCUGUAUCUGGAAGUCCAGCUAGGAUGAGGGGUAUUCAGUCAUAUAUGACCUGGGAACAGAGCUGAAGAGCUGUAGGAACAGUGAGCUCUGGUUCCAAAGUAAAGACCAAGACUGGUGGUGCUAAAAAGGCUUUUCAUGCUGUUUGUAUGUGUGUCUGGAAUAGGCAGUAUGGAAUUUGGGACAUUUGAUGUUUUACUGAGAAGACUAUUGUAAUCCAAGCAGCUUUCUCUCUUGUUAUGCUAAUCAUUCCCUGGAACCUCUUCCCUUCUCCAGGUUCAGGCCUCAUCUCCAGUGGCACUGGGUGUAAGGAUUCCCACUGUGGCUCUUCACAUGAUGGAACUGUUUGACACAACUGUAGAGCAGCUGUAUAGCAUCUUCACUGUAAAGGAGGUAAGUAACUCCCUAAGCUAGCAUGUUAAGUGCUGACAUUGGGAGAAAAUACAUUACAAAGAACAGGAGCUGGUUUUUGGUUUUCCUUGUGGCUGUGUUUUUGAUUGAAGGGAUGUGGGAUGGUGGUGACAGAAGUCUGAGCAUAGUUUCUGAAUAAUUGGAGGGGAGAUGGGCAUUCUUUGGGACUAUGUCCGCAUUACAUUGAGUUUUCUCCCUCUAGGAAGAGAGAGUUUGUGUUUUAUUUUCUGUAAGUAAAAGCUACAUGUUUAGGAUUUUUAAACCAUAUUAAUUGUUAUAUUUUGUAUUUCAUAAUUAUAUUAUGUGUUAGUGUGUACUGGAAUAACAUGUUUUAUUUGGUUAGUUGGUGCAAAAGUUUUCUAAAUCUACUGCUGUAUUAGAAACUGAAAAGGGAGGGAAAUUCCAGAUGUUUGAUGGGAACAUCACUGGUGAAUAUCUAGGAUUGGUAAGUAGACUCAAGGUUGAAGAAGUAAGGUGGGAUUAACUCUUAAUAUUACUUUUUGUAUAUGCUGUUUUUAGCACCGAAAUCACGAGGGUCUGUGUUGCCUCAACCUUAACAGCAGCCCUCUGUUCUGGUUACUAUUACUGUACUUAAAACAUUAUUAUAUAUUCCUGCUGUCCUUGAUGUUACUGCUGUUCUGAGACAUUUUGGCAAUAAAGACAAUUAUCAGUGGUGCUGAUGUAUAAACUGGAAGAAGGACCGUAUGUUGUUCAUUGAUUCUUCUAGGAGUUUCAAUGAAAGGAUUUUUCUGUGUUGUAUUGUGGGAAGUCUUAAAAGAUUUUCAGUGGAAUUUCCCCUCUCUUUUCAGUUAACAAAUAAGAAGAUCAUCAUGAAAUGGAGAUGUGGGAACUGGCCAGAAGGUAUGUUACUAAUUACUGCCCUUCAUAUUAAAGGUCCCAAAACACUAAGGCUAGGUUUUUCGUAUGGAUAAAUUUUCCUUUUCAUAAUGCAGUAAUAAGGUUCCUAUUUUUUUUCUUAGAACACUAUGCCAUGGUUGCACUGAAUUUUGUGCCUACUCUAGGGCAAACAGAAUUACAAUUGAAGGAGUUCCUAUCUAUCUGUAAAGAAGAGAACAUGAAAUUCUGUUGGCAGAAGCAGCAUUUUGAAGAAAUAAAAGGUUCACUGCAGCUGACCCCCCUAAAUGGUUGAAUUAAAAUUUAUUAUAAGGCAUUACUUUUUGUAAGCGGAAAAAGUGUCACAUUUACCUCUUCCCUAUCUUUUGUUUAAAAGGACUGUCUUUAUUUUAUAUUGGAUGAAAUCUAUGAACAUAUAUACAAUGUAAAGCAUUGUUUGACUCUUUAUUAUAACUAGACACUGCAUUGAUUUAAAAGUAGCAAACAACCUGAAAUUAAGUAUUAACCUGACCUUCCAUCGAUAUUCCUCUGGAAAUAGGUAAGUCCUGAGUGCAGAUAGUUGAUGUUUCCCAAGCUGAAGCUUGUCCUAUAGCAAGCUUGCUUGCAGCUGUACUUUUAGUUCAAGAUGACAAAAAAUAAAUGGCAUGUUGACACUAUUCCUUUAUUUUACUUUAGGGUUUUUAAGGUGUGUAGAUCUUAGGUCGUAAAACAGUGGUAUAUUGCAUUCAAAAGCAUGUUGAGGUGAGGGCAAAUUGGCUGUGUUUUGCUCCACAUCUCCCUGCACAUCUCCCUGCUGUGGUUUUGCACUUCGGUGUGGAGAGGAUUGAGAAGUCUGUGGGGACACAUUAGUUCUGUGGACUGCUGGUAACACUUCCAGUGAAACAGCAUAUAAUGGAUAAAUGUUUCCCCCCUCUUUCACGGUUUUCUCACUACUUUCACCUGAGAAGACUGAAGCAACGUAUGUAAACAAAUGAAAAGUCAUCACAAUCAGUUUAAUUAAGUGCACAGAAUAGCAAUCAAUCAAUCAGUCAUGUCAAUAAAAAUAAA